UACGUAGGGGGCAAGCGUUAUCCGGAUUUAUUGGGUUUAAAGGGUGCGUAGGCGGGCUUUUAAGUCAGCGGUAAAAAUUCGGGGCUCAACCCCGUCCGGCCGUUGAAACUGGGGGUCUUGAGUGGGCGAGAAGAAGGCGGAAUGCGUGGUGUAGCGGUGAAAUGCAUAGAUAUCACGCAGAACCCCGAUUGCGAAGGCAGCCUUCCGGCGCCCUACUGACGCUGAGGCACGAAAGUGCGGGGAUCGAACAGG
This 252-nucleotide ribosomal RNA is filed under the name uncultured bacterium. RNAcentral describes it as "partial 16S ribosomal RNA". It matches the Rfam family "Bacterial small subunit ribosomal RNA", at positions 524 to 776 of the family's 1533-position model. The record is from RNAcentral.